UGCUGCCAUCAAAUGGCCGCAUCUCCCCUAUAAAUACCUGCUCAGAAGGCCAGGCCAGCCUUUAGAAAAUGGCUGCUCUCAAAGCAACAGGUUUCUUUUUGGUAAAAGCCCAGAAAUACAUGGAUAGAAAGAGAAGACUGAAAUGAAGAGUGAAGGGUCUGAGAUCCUCUGUUCAAUGAAACAGAUGCCGUGCCCAGUGAAUACCCAUAAAGGAGCCUGAAAAGAACAAGACAAGGGGCGGCACAGUUAUGAGGAGACUGCUUGCUGGAUGAGAUUCUACUGGGCUGCCUUCCCAUCACAAUGAAGGAUUUUCUGUCUAAAUUGUGUUUCUGGAAAUUGUAAUGUUGUAUGAACUGUAUUUUUUUGAAAUUUUAUGGAUUAAACCUUAGUUUUUACAGUU
Xenopus tropicalis (tropical clawed frog) is the source of this 400-nucleotide long non-coding RNA. RefSeq lists it as uncharacterized. The record is from RefSeq and is a predicted model, not a curated record. The transcript has 4 exons. NCBI's taxonomy places the organism in Eukaryota, Metazoa, Chordata, Amphibia, Anura, Pipidae.